Molecule: transfer RNA, 69 nt
Filed under: Ictidomys tridecemlineatus (thirteen-lined ground squirrel)
Lineage: Eukaryota; Metazoa; Chordata; Mammalia; Rodentia; Sciuridae
Description: Spermophilus tridecemlineatus (thirteen-lined ground squirrel) tRNA
Rfam family: tRNA
About the family: Transfer RNA (tRNA) molecules are approximately 80 nucleotides in length. Their secondary structure includes four short double-helical elements and three loops (D, anti-codon, and T loops).
Source: Rfam by way of RNAcentral
GGGGCUGGGGCUCAGUGGUAGAGCACUCACCUAGUAUGUGUGAGGCCCUGGGUUCGAUGCUCAGCACCA